RNAcentral lists this signal recognition particle RNA (298 nucleotides) under Aotus nancymaae (Ma's night monkey). Its description in RNAcentral is "Metazoan signal recognition particle RNA (ENSANAG00000004470.1)". It matches the Rfam family "Metazoan signal recognition particle RNA". Rfam says of the family: The signal recognition particle (SRP) is a universally conserved ribonucleoprotein. The record is from RNAcentral. Lineage: Eukaryota; Metazoa; Chordata; Mammalia; Primates; Aotidae.
GCCAGGCGCGGCGGCUGUGCCUGUAGUCCCAGCUACUCGGGAGGCUGAGGUGGGAGGAUCGAUUGAGCCCAGGAGUUCUGGGCUGUAAUGUGCUAUGCAGAUCUGGUGUCUGCACUAAGUUCGGCAUCAAUAUGGUGACCUCCCAGGAGCGGGGAACCACCAGGUUGCCUAAGGAGGUGUGAACCGGCCCAGGUGGGAAAUGGAGCAGGUCAAAACUCCCGUGCUCAUCAGUAGUGGGAUCACCCCUGUGAAUAGCCACUGCACUCCAGCCUAGGCAGCAUAGCGAGACCCCAUCUCU